Long non-coding RNA from Corapipo altera (White-ruffed manakin), 706 nucleotides. RefSeq lists it as uncharacterized. The record is from RefSeq and is a predicted model, not a curated record. Lineage: Eukaryota; Metazoa; Chordata; Aves; Passeriformes; Pipridae. The transcript has 3 exons.
CCGCCGGGACCCCCGGGGAGGACCCGUCCUGCCGGGGAGCAGGAGAAGCGGGGGGACAGGUCUGUCGCCCCCAGACUGUCGCCCCGACCACGCGCCGUCCCCGACUACGUGGUGAGGUACCCGGCGAUCCUGAGCCCCCGGCAGCAGGAGGGCUACAAGGGCGUCUUCCAGGACCAGCUGGCGGAAUACGUGGAUCUGCACCGGGAGCUCCGUGCCACAUGUCACCCCCCGGGCAGGACGGAUUCAGCCUGGCUGGAGAAGCAGCGGCGCUGUGAGUACCUGAAGAAGAAGCUGACGCACCUCAAGGCGCGGAUCCAGGAGUACAAUCGUGUCACCCACCCCAGCGCCGGUGGCUCCUGAGCCUGUGCCCGGGCCGGGGGACCCUCCCCCGCCCGAGGCACCCCAGGGGAUGGGGAGGGGGUGGCGCUGCCGCGGGGAUCACCCGGUACCCACCAGGGAUCACCCGGUACCCACCGACCCAUCGCACCCACGCGGGAACGGGGAGCAAACCCACCGGCUCCUCAUUCUGGAGGUCCUCGUGGAGCCUCGUGGCCCCGGGACCCCCGAGCGCUGGGUGGGUCCUGCCUGUCCCCAGGCCCCGGCUGUGCCCCCAUCUUAUCCCUGGGAAUCGGGGAACCCCUCACCCCCCUCCCCGGACAGGGGGUGCAGCUGCUGAAGUGGCUUUAAUUCAGUAACCGGGUUUAAG